GCAAGGUCAGAGAAGGAUAUAAUC
RNAcentral lists this microRNA (24 nucleotides) under Zea mays. Its description in RNAcentral is "zma-miR11969-5p". Lineage: Eukaryota; Viridiplantae; Streptophyta; Magnoliopsida; Poales; Poaceae. The record is from miRBase by way of RNAcentral.